This 22-nucleotide non-coding RNA is filed under the name Arabidopsis thaliana (thale cress). Lineage: Eukaryota; Viridiplantae; Streptophyta; Magnoliopsida; Brassicales; Brassicaceae. The record is from RNAcentral.
AAAUGUUCAUGGUUUUGCCCUA